Molecule: RNA transcript, 649 nt
Organism: Quercus robur (English oak)
Lineage: Eukaryota; Viridiplantae; Streptophyta; Magnoliopsida; Fagales; Fagaceae
Gene name: ubiquitin-like protein 5
Exons: 3
Source: RefSeq, a predicted model, not a curated record
UGGGUUUUCAGUCAAAAAGAGGGUUUCUGAGGAAAUUGGUGAAAGCGUGUGAGAGAGAAUAAUUAGGGUUUGGAAAUCGUGAGGUUGAGGUUGAGGUUGAGCUAGCGAAGAUGAUUGAGGUGGUUCUGAACGAUCGGCUAGGAAAGAAGGUGAGAGUGAAGUGCAACGAGGACGACACCAUCGGAGACCUGAAGAAACUCGUGGCGGCGCAGACGGGUACCCGGUCCGAGAAGAUCCGGAUCCAGAAGUGGUACAACAUCUACAAGGACCAUAUCACCCUUAAGGACUAUGAAAUCCACGACGGCAUGGGCCUCGAGCUUUACUACAACUAAAUCAAUCGUGUUGAUUAAGUAGAGAAGUUGGAGUUUUGGCCUAGUGAAGGAAGGAGGUGCGGUAACCAAUGGGGGUUGGCAUUCGUAUCAAAAAAUGCAUUGCAAUCGGAAAUGUCUUUGAUCUGUAGGUCAGUAGGGAUAUAUAUUUUGUGUUAUGUAAGAGACAAUGAAGUUGCAAAGUACUGAUGUGUCCCCUGUCAUGUAACAUCUUAAUGGGCAGAUAUGUAAACUAAAUAUUUGAACACCAUUUACUUGUUAAGCGAUGUAUGUUUGAUGCUUUGCUAUAUAUACCAUAUCAUCUAUGGAUUUAACUGCUA